GGGGCGGUUGGCAGCGAGGCGGCGGCCGCGCCUGUCAGGCCGCGUUAAGCACAGGGCGGGCGGGAGGGAGGGAGGUAGGGAGGUGAGCGGCCCUGCCGAAACAUCCCCGCGCUACGGGAUCCGGCUGCCCGCUGAGCCGGAGCAGUACGCUUGUCCCGGUGGCGCUGAGCGCCUGCACGGUGUGGGUUAAUUUCGGGGUGUUGGCACGCGCACGCUGAGGCAGAGCACAGGCAGAAAAUGUAAUUUGCUGUGCGCUUCGGUAUGCUGGGGACCUGUCCUGGAGCUCGUCGUCUUGAGCUGAAUAAAGGCUGAAAAGCAGGAUUGAAGUCGACUUGUUCAACCUGAGGACGUUCUUUCACUGAGAGUCAGAUGGAAGAAUCUGAAAGCCCCUUUCAGGAACUGAUUCUGUGCCUUUUCAGUCCUGUUGGCAUUCCCUUGUUUUUUCUAUUUG
RNAcentral lists this long non-coding RNA (451 nucleotides) under Strigops habroptila (Kakapo). RNAcentral's name for it is "lncRNA (ENSSHBG00005000422.1)". Lineage: Eukaryota; Metazoa; Chordata; Aves; Psittaciformes; Psittacidae. The record is from RNAcentral.